AACGAACGCUGGCGGCAAGCUUAACACAUGCAAGUCGAACGAUGUAGCAAUACAUAGUGGCGGACGGGUGCAUAACACGUGGGAAUCUGCCUUUAGGUACGGAAUAACUCAGGGAAACUUGAGCUAAUACCGUAUAAAAUCUCCGGAUCAAAGAUUUAUCGCCUAAGGAUGAGCCCGCGUCAGAUUAGCUAGUUGGUGGGGUAACGGCCUACCAAGGCGACGAUCUGUAGCUGGUCUUAGAGGAUGAUCAGCCACACUGGGACUGAGACACGGCCCAGACUCCUACGGGAGGCAGCAGUGGGGAAUAUUGGACAAUGGGGGAAACCCUGAUCCAGCUAUGCCGCGUGAGUGAUGAAGGCCUUAGGGUUGUAAAGCUCUUUUAGAUGGGAAGAUAAUGACGGUACCAUCAGAAAAAGCCCCGGCUAACUUCGUGCCAGCCGCCGCCGUAA
RNAcentral lists this ribosomal RNA (449 nucleotides) under uncultured bacterium. RNAcentral describes it as "partial 16S ribosomal RNA". It matches the Rfam family "Bacterial small subunit ribosomal RNA", at positions 29 to 523 of the family's 1533-position model. The record is from RNAcentral.